GCAUCUACCGAUUGAAUGGAGAGGUAAAAUCUCCGGACUAUGACGCGUUGGGGUCAAACCUAAUGCAGUCGUGGGAAGUGGAUUAAACCUUUCCAUUUAGAGGAAGAUGAAGUCGUAACAAGGUUUCCGUAGGUGAACCUGCAGAGGAUCAAGAUCGGAAGGACCCACGGUUGGACUCCCGUCACGUUGCCCUAAUUUCUAUUCCGGUUUCUGCUUGAAAAAAAAAAACAAGACCCAACCCCUGCACUUUCUUUGCAACUGCACUGAUACGAUCUAU
RNAcentral lists this unclassified non-coding RNA (277 nucleotides) under sea anemone metagenome. RNAcentral describes it as "partial contains small subunit ribosomal RNA and internal transcribed spacer 1". The stretch from base 1 to 154 matches the Rfam family "Eukaryotic small subunit ribosomal RNA", at positions 1678 to 1831 of the family's 1831-position model. The record is from RNAcentral.